UCAAACUUGGCCAUUUAGAGGAAGUAAAAGUCGUAACAAGGUUUCCGUAGGUGAACCUGCGGAAGGAUCAUUAUUGAUUUUUAGUGAAUGUGCUGGCCUUCCGGGGCAAUGUGCACUUCUCAAAACCAAUAUCCACCCGUGCACUCUCUGUAGGCAGGACCAGCUCAGGUCCUGUCUAUGUCUCUUUCACAAACUCAUGUUGGAUUACAUGGAAUGUUAUUAUUUAAAUUGAUACAACUUUCAACAAUGGAUCUCUUGGUUCUCGCAUCGAUGAAGAACGCAGC
RNAcentral lists this unclassified non-coding RNA (284 nucleotides) under uncultured fungus. Its description in RNAcentral is "partial contains small subunit ribosomal RNA, internal transcribed spacer 1, and 5.8S ribosomal RNA". The stretch from base 1 to 73 matches the Rfam family "Eukaryotic small subunit ribosomal RNA", at positions 1759 to 1831 of the family's 1831-position model. Lineage: Eukaryota; Fungi. The record is from RNAcentral.